AUUGAACGCUGGCGGCAUGCCUUACACAUGCAAGUCGAACGGUAACAGGUCUUCGGAUGCUGACGAGUGGCGAACGGGUGAGUAAUACAUCGGAACGUGCCUAGUAGUGGGGGAUAACUACUCGAAAGAGUGGCUAAUACCGCAUGAGAUCUACGGAUGAAAGCAGGGGAUCGCAAGACCUUGUGCUACUAGAGCGGCCGAUGGCAGAUUAGGUUGUUGGUGGGAUAAAAGCUUACCAAGCCGACGAUCUGUAGCUGGUCUGAGAGGACGAUCAGCCACACUGGGACUGAGACACGGCCCAGACUCCUACGGGAGGCAGCAGUGGGGAAUUUUGGACAAUGGGCGCAAGCCUGAUCCAGCAACGCCGCGUGCAGGAUGAAGGCCUUCGGGUUGUAAACUGCUUUUGUACGGAACGAAAAGCCCUGGGUUAAUACCCUGGGGUCAUGACGGUACCGUAAGAAUAAGCACCGGCUAACUACGUGCCAGCCGCCGCCGUAA
This 498-nucleotide ribosomal RNA is filed under the name uncultured bacterium. Its description in RNAcentral is "partial 16S ribosomal RNA". It matches the Rfam family "Bacterial small subunit ribosomal RNA", at positions 30 to 523 of the family's 1533-position model. The record is from RNAcentral.